RNAcentral lists this ribosomal RNA (614 nucleotides) under uncultured Streptomyces sp. Its description in RNAcentral is "bacterial SSU rRNA". It matches the Rfam family "Bacterial small subunit ribosomal RNA", at positions 1 to 629 of the family's 1533-position model. Lineage: Bacteria; Bacillati; Actinomycetota; Actinomycetes; Kitasatosporales; Streptomycetaceae. The record is from RNAcentral.
GCCCUUGAGUUUGAUCCUGGCUCAGGACGAACGCUGGCGGCGUGCUUAACACAUGCAAGUCGAACGAUGAACCGCUUUCGGGCGGGGAUUAGUGGCGAACGGGUGAGUAACACGUGGGCAAUCUGCCCUGCACUCUGGGACAAGCCCUGGAAACGGGGUCUAAUACCGGAUAUGACUGUCCAUCGCAUGGUGGAUGGUGUAAAGCUCCGGCGGUGCAGGAUGAGCCCGCGGCCUAUCAGCUUGUUGGUGAGGUAGUGGCUCACCAAGGCGACGACGGGUAGCCGGCCUGAAAGGGCGACCGGCCACACUGGGACUGAGACACGGCCCAGACUCCUACGGGAGGCAGCAGUGGGGAAUAUUGCACAAUGGGCGAAAGCCUGAUGCAGCGACGCCGCGUGAGGGAUGACGGCCUUCGGGUUGUAAACCUCUUUCAGCAGGGAAGAAGCGAAAGUGACGGUACCUGCAGAAGAAGCGCCGGCUAACUACGUGCCAGCAGCCGCGGUAAUACGUAGGGCGCAAGCGUUGUCCGGAAUUAUUGGGCGUAAAGAGCUCGUAGGCGGCUUGUCACGUCGGUUGUGAAAAGCCCCGGGGCUUAACCCCCGGGUCUGCAGUCC